RNAcentral lists this unclassified non-coding RNA (336 nucleotides) under soil metagenome. RNAcentral's name for it is "partial contains 5.8S ribosomal RNA, internal transcribed spacer 2, and large subunit ribosomal RNA". The stretch from base 1 to 120 matches the Rfam family "5.8S ribosomal RNA", at positions 35 to 154 of the family's 154-position model. The record is from RNAcentral.
GAUGAAGAACAUAGCGAAAUGCGAUAAGUAAUGUGAAUUGCAGAAUUCAGUGAAUCAUCGAAUCUUUGAACGCACAUUGCGCCCGCCAGUAUUCUGGCGGGCAUGCCUGUUCGAGCGUCAUUUCAACCAUCAAGCCCCAGGCUUGUGUUGGGGACCUGCGGCUGCCGCAGGCCCUGAAAACCAGUGGCGGGCUCGCUGUCACACCGGGCGUAGUAGAUUUUAUCUCGCUCAGGGCGUGCUGCGGGUUCCGGCCGUUAAAAAGCCUUUUUUACCCAGGGUUGACCUCGGAUCAGGUAGGAAGACCCGCUGAACUUAAGCAUAUCAAUAAGCGGAGGA